This 255-nucleotide ribosomal RNA is filed under the name uncultured bacterium. RNAcentral's name for it is "partial 16S ribosomal RNA". It matches the Rfam family "Bacterial small subunit ribosomal RNA", at positions 524 to 776 of the family's 1533-position model. The record is from RNAcentral.
UACGUAGGGGGCAAGCGUUGUCCGGAUUUAUUGGGCGUAAAGGGCGCGUAGGCGGUUUCUUAAGUUUGAAGUGACAGUGGGUGGCUUAACUACCCAAGGCCUUUGAAAACUGGGGAACUUGAGGACCAGAGAGGGACAUAGAAUUCCGGGUGGAGUGGUGAAAUGCGUAGAUAUCCGGAGGAAUACCAAAGGCGAAGGCAGUGUCCUGGAGGGUUAACUGACGCUGAGGCGCGAAAGCUAGGGGGAGCGAACAGG